This 508-nucleotide ribosomal RNA is filed under the name uncultured bacterium. RNAcentral describes it as "partial 16S ribosomal RNA". It matches the Rfam family "Bacterial small subunit ribosomal RNA", at positions 28 to 507 of the family's 1533-position model. The record is from RNAcentral.
GACGAACGCUGGCGGCGUGCCUAAUACAUGCAAGUCGAGCGCUUCUUUCCUCCCGAGUGCUUGCACUCAAUUGGAAAGAGGAGUGGCGGACGGGUGAGUAACACGUGGGUAACCUACCCAUCAGAGGGGGAUGACACUUGGAAACAGGUGCUAAUACCGCAUAACAGUUUAUGCCGCAUGGCAUAAGAGUGAAAGGCGCUUUCGGGUGUCGCUGAUGGAUGGACCCGCGGUGCAUUAGCUAGUUGGUAAGGUAACGGCUCACCAAGGCCACGAUGCAUAGCCGACCUGAGAGGGUGAUCGGCCACACUGGGACUGAGACACGGCCCAGACUCCUACGGGAGGCAGCAGUAGGGAAUCUUCGGCAAUGGACGAAAGUCUGACCGAGCAACGCCGCGUGAGUGAAGAAGGUUUUCGGAUCGUAAAACUCUGUUGUUAGAGAAGAACAAGGACGUUAGUAACUGAACGUCCCCUGACGGUAUCUAACCAGAAAGCCACGGCUAACUACGUG